Molecule: ribosomal RNA, 242 nt
Filed under: uncultured bacterium
Lineage: Bacteria
Description: partial 16S ribosomal RNA
Rfam family: Bacterial small subunit ribosomal RNA
Source: RNAcentral
UACGUAGGGUGCAAGCGUUGUCCGGAAUUAUUGGGCGUAAAGAGCUCGUAGGCGGUCUGUCGCGUCUGCUGUGAAAACCUAGGGCUUAACUCUGGGCGUGCAGUGGGUACGGGCAGGCUAGAGUGCGGUAGGGGAGACUGGAAUUCCUGGUGUAGCGGUGAAAUGCGCAGAUAUCAGGAGGAACACCGGUGGCGAAGGCGGGUCUCUGGGCCGUAACUGACGCUGAGGCGCGAAAGUGUGGG